This 164-nucleotide ribosomal RNA is filed under the name Rheum palmatum. RNAcentral's name for it is "5.8S ribosomal RNA". It matches the Rfam family "5.8S ribosomal RNA". Rfam says of the family: 5.8S ribosomal RNA (5.8S rRNA) is a component of the large subunit of the eukaryotic ribosome. It is transcribed by RNA polymerase I as part of the 45S precursor that also contains 18S and 28S rRNA. Functionally, it is thought that 5.8S rRNA may be involved in ribosome translocation. The record is from RNAcentral. Lineage: Eukaryota; Viridiplantae; Streptophyta; Magnoliopsida; Caryophyllales; Polygonaceae.
AGAACGACUCUCGGCAACGGAUAUCUCGGCUCUCGCAUCGAUGAAGAACGUAGCGAAAUGCGAUACUUGGUGUGAAUUGCAGAAUCCCGUGAACCAUCGAGUCUUUGAACGCAAGUUGCGCCCGAAGCCUUCUGGCCAAGGGCACGUCUGUCUGGGCGUCACGC